UGUUUUUAAACGCGCAAAUUGUUUGUUUUUCAGAAAACCGUGUACUGUACAUUGCUAAGUGGUUUACUUAGUACUUAAUACUAAAAUACAAAAUGGCGCUUUCCAGAUUAUUCGGGAAAAGCAAGAAGGAGCCAUCAAGUCCCUCAGGAUCACAUCAUUCCCCUGAUCUUUCGGAGAGAGAAGACGACAACUUUACCGUCA
This is a long non-coding RNA of Eurytemora carolleeae, 201 nucleotides long. RefSeq lists it as uncharacterized. The transcript is spliced from 3 exons. The record is from RefSeq and is a predicted model, not a curated record. NCBI's taxonomy places the organism in Eukaryota, Metazoa, Arthropoda, Copepoda, Calanoida, Temoridae.